Long non-coding RNA from Raphanus sativus (radish), 997 nucleotides. RefSeq lists it as uncharacterized. The transcript has 3 exons. The record is from RefSeq and is a predicted model, not a curated record. NCBI's taxonomy places the organism in Eukaryota, Viridiplantae, Streptophyta, Magnoliopsida, Brassicales, Brassicaceae.
CCCGUCGUGAUCCUUCUUCUCUCUCCGUCGUGAUCCUUCUUUUCUCUCCGUCGAGAUCCAUAGUCUAUCUCUCCGUCGGAUCCAUCGUCUCUCUCUCCGAGAUCCAUCGUCUCUAUUUCCGUUGGAUCCAUCGUCUUUCUCUCCGUCGAGAUCCAUCUCUCUCUCCGUCGAGAAUCAUCGUCAAAACCUCUUGCAUCAGAUCAUCUUUGAUCACUCACAGAGUUUUCUUGUGGAAUCUACAAGUGGGAACACAGGGAUUGGUCUUGCUUUCAUUGCUGCGUCGAAAGGAUAUAAAUGCCUGCCUCCAUGAGUCUGGAAAGAAGGGUUCUUUUGAGGGCGUUUGGAGCCGAGCUUGUGUUAACUGAACCUGCUAAAGGCAUGACUGGAGCUAUUCAGAAGGCUGAAGAGAUCUUGAAGAACACUCCCAACUCCUACAUGCUCCAACAGUUUGACAACCCACCCAAUCCCAAGAGUCAUGUUAUUGGAACCGUACAUGGAGAGUUUGAGUGAGAGAAUAGGAGUUAUAAGUGUAUUGCUCAGAAAAAGAUUUGGUCUCGGUUCAGUGGCCGUAAGGAAGAAGGUCGUGGCUCGAUGGUGGUUCAAGCGCUGAGUGCAGCCACAGCAAGUGGUUGCUCAGCUUUGAUAACUAUGCCGGUAGACACAAUCAAGACGAGGCUUCAGGUUUUAGACACGGAGGAGAACGGGAGGAGACGAGCAAUGACAGUGAUGCCGACGGUGAAGAGCUUGAUGAAGGAAGGAGGUGGGUUCGGGGCUUGUUACAGAGGGCUAGGACCAAGGUGGGUCUCAAUGUCAAUGUCUGCAACAACCAUGAUCACAACCUAUGCGUUCUUGAAGCGUCUGUCCACAAAGAAGCAGAGAUGAUAUAAAGUUAUAUAAACCAUUUAUAGUCUUAAGUUUCUCUGUUUCUUGUGUUGAAAUGAAGAAACACAAUGGCAAAAAAAAAUGUUUAUACUCUCUAAUAAACAAACAUAAAACA